RNAcentral lists this long non-coding RNA (321 nucleotides) under Capsicum annuum. RNAcentral's name for it is "long non-coding RNA (CANN_LNC001096)". The record is from RNAcentral. Lineage: Eukaryota; Viridiplantae; Streptophyta; Magnoliopsida; Solanales; Solanaceae.
AUACUUAUGAAAAAGAUUGUAUCAUUUAUCAAAUUUUGAAAUCAAUAAAGGAUUUCUUAUAAAUUCUAUAGUAUUUUAAAAUAGAUGGUAAGGGUUCUCCUAUAUAGGUGAAUUAAAGAAGGUGCCCUCACAAUCUAAUAGGUUGGGUUGUGGUAAUUGGUAUCAUAGACCUAGUUACUUAUCUCAUAAGUACAAGACCAAAUGUUGAGUAGAGUCCUAUGGAUUGGUGUGUAAACGUCCACAUCAAAUCCUUAGGAAGCUAUGGGGCAUUCUCAGAAUUUUUUCUAUUUCUUCUUUCCUAUCGUAUUACCUUAGUUUUUU